CCUAAAUAUGAGUCGUCAUCCACGCGCAGCAGCUAAACCGCGAUCUCUCGAACUCUUGAGGGGCGUUUCCACUUCUUGUUUGAGGGGCGUUUCCACUUCUUGUUAGAGGCGGCUUCUUUCUCGUUGGAUGAGCUGGUUGAUAUUUUGAACGUGCCAGUGGCCUUGAUGAUAGCCGACUCGGCGUGCUCCAAGAGCCACCGGAUGGUCUUGCCGUCGAACUUGUGGUCGAUCUCUUGGGUCAGCUGGAAGAUCCGGGCGACGCAGGCGUUGGUCUACGGCAUUGGUCUCUCCGAGGAGAGACAUGGCCAAGCUGCAGGUCGGCGUCUCCUUGGUCUGGUGCGAGGGCAACCGUUGUGUGACGACGGACAACUCUUCUCUGCCAUGGUGGUUCGCAAGCCGUUGGGCACUGAAUUGUUAACAAAGGCAAACUUCAAUUGGGUCCGAUGUUUUGGGCGAUGAUGAUAUCAGAGCAGAAGGUGGCUCAUUUGGCAUUGAAGCCGUUGGGGAGGAACAAUGCAAUUGAUGGAACGUGUGGAGUUGGAACGAAAGAACCCCAGCUUAUUUUCGCUUCUGCAGACAGUGAGGAAAUUGUUGAUGAUUAAACUUACUUUUAAAUUAGCAAGAUAUAUAGCUUUUCUUUUCUUUCUGUUUGGUCCCUACUUAAUUAUGAUUUUAAUUUAUUUGGGCUUAGAACAAGUUUAUUAAUUGUUUGGGCUUACAAAUGUGCCCGUUACAAAUACCAAGUGAGCAAUCUAUUUCCCAAAACUGUUUGAGCUAUAUUUACAACAAUAAUUUGCAUCAUACAUGCGUACUCCCAUGAUAAGGUUAUUACUUUAAUAUCUGAAAAUUAAAUUUAUUAUUUUCUAAUUAUUUACUUUGAAGAUUUAGUCAUCAUGAAGAGUGAUUUUGAAAGUUUGUUUCCCUACAUGAUUGAUUGAUUGUGUUCGAUGUUGCUUUCAUAAUGAAGUCCAAUUCUAUCACAUUGUUGACUUAUCACUUCAAGAACAAGUGAAACUAUAUGCAGGUGAAAGCAUAGCUUCAAGUUGACACAUCACAUAGAGGAACUGAGGAACAUAUAAUGGGUUUCUCUGUUUUACACCUUAUUUCAUUGUUGCUUCUUUGGUAUUUUUUGCUUGUGCCAGUUAUGCUUAUAAAUUUCAGUGGUUUUUUAAGUUUUGUCUUUUCUUUGUUGCAGUCUUAUAUUGUAUACUUAGGAUCACAUUCUCAUGGCCCAAACCCUUCAGCAAGUGAUCUUGAGUCUGCAACGAAUUCCCAUUACAAAUUAUUAGGCUCACACUUGGGGAAGGAGUGGAAUGCUUCGGGGCCUAUGCACGUGGAUUUGCUAGAGGGUGCCUUGCAACGCCAAACAUCAGUUGAACUCCAAACUAAUCUCUGGUCUCCCUGGCUUUCCAAGGAUGGAAGUCUUGUACUGAGCGUCCAAAACCACCUUGUGAGUUCAAAUUGAAUAUUGAAUUUCAUUUUCUUUUACACAUUGGACAUUUAUUUCUCAAGAAAACGAGGGCUCUGUUAUCUGUUGGUAGUGUCUGGUAUUUUACAUGUUUCUUUUUACUUAUAAUUUCUUGCAGCACUACCUGAAAAGUCAUGGGGUUAUAUCCCAGGGCUAUAGCUCUCCCUGGUAUUUUACAUGUUUCUUUUUACUUAUAAUUUCUUGUUGAUGAUGGGCAUACAGAGUAAAUAUUUUAUAUUAUUAUUUGAUCAUCAAUUAUCAGUAUGUUAAGAUCGUUAUUUUUUUGCA
RNA transcript from Glycine soja, 1756 nucleotides. RefSeq lists it as uncharacterized. The transcript is spliced from 4 exons. The record is from RefSeq and is a predicted model, not a curated record. NCBI's taxonomy places the organism in Eukaryota, Viridiplantae, Streptophyta, Magnoliopsida, Fabales, Fabaceae.